UUGCCCCUUGGUGCCCAAAGUGCCCUUUUGUCAAAGAAAAAAUUCCUCUCAUUUUUUUUAUUAAUUAAAGGCCCUUUUGUGAAUGCCUGCCUAUGCCAAAUCUAAAUAUUAGUAAAAUGUAUGAUUAAUAAUUUAGCCUUAAAUAAAAUGAUCCAGAUGAUGACCUUUCACCUGACGAUGACCUCAUCCGACCGGGACUAUUCCUCACGCCGCACGGCCUCAGCACGCGCAUUUUUUAAUUACCGGAAGAUAUCUUCAACACCGCGACCGCGGUAGCUGCAAAGACCACUAUUCAGAGACGCUUUAAAGGAGGAGAUAAUUCCAAAUGGGAAAUAUUGCAUGCCUUCCAUUGCCUGACAGUCCCAGAGAACUGGAAAACAGCUAGCGUUCCAACAGCAGCACUCCAAGCUGUGAAGAAACUGUGCCAGUUCUACAAUAUUGAAGAUGAAGACAAAUUGCAGACAGAAUUGAAGGUCUUCCAUACGUCAUACUCAUGCCCACCACCAGCCAAUGUGUCUUCUAUUCUGUCAGUGGCCAAGGAAAACAAUGCACAUCUAGUUUUCCCCAACAUGACUCUGCUGCUGAAGACAUAUGGCACACUUCCGGUGUCCACAGCAACUGUGGAACGUUCCUUCUCAAAACUGAAGCUUGUGAAAACCAAACUUCGCAGCUUUUGCAAAGAGGAGAGAUUGUCUGACCUUCUUCUGUUGGCCAUUGAGAAGGACAUUCCAAUAAAUGACAAUAAUGUCAUUAACAUUUUUAGGGACAUGGCCAACAGGAAAUUUCUGUUAUAAAAGUCUACAACAACUCAUCCUCCACUUAUUGCUCUUGGUGUGCAGCAGCCUCUGUGAGCAUCUCCCUCUUAUUUUCUUGGAGCAGUCAGCCUUGGCAGAUCAACUCCAGUAUUAGCAGCAGCAGCAACAACAACAGCAAAGGCAGCAUACUCACUCAAGGAAUUUAGUAAGAUUUUACCAGAACAGGUAUCACAUUCAUGUAAAAAAUCUGUUGUAUUUGCUGUAAAAUAAAAUUGCUGUAUUUUUUCUGUUUGUUUUUGUUUUUAUUAUAUUAAAUGGAACUCUUGUAUUUUUGUAAUUCAGUUUUUGCCA
Long non-coding RNA from Xyrauchen texanus (razorback sucker), 1106 nucleotides. RefSeq lists it as uncharacterized. Lineage: Eukaryota; Metazoa; Chordata; Actinopteri; Cypriniformes; Catostomidae. The record is from RefSeq and is a predicted model, not a curated record. The transcript has 4 exons.